GAAUGCGUGCGUGCGUGCGCGUGUGCGUGAGUGCACGCCGCGGUGGGGAGAGCUGAACUAUUGCUGCUUGCCACAGAUUGAAUUGUGUCUCCCUCCCACACCAAUUCGUAGGUUAAAGUUACAGCCCCUGAUGGGAGGGUAUUUGAAUAUAGGGCAUUUGGGGAGUAAUUAGAUUUAGAUGAAGUCAUGAGGGUGAGGCCCUCGUGAUGGGAUUGGUACCCUCAUAGGAAGAGCCACGAGAGACCUUGCUUUCCCCUCUCUCUGCCAUGUGAGGACAGCAAGAAGACAGCAUCUGCAGCCGGGAAGAGAUCUCUAACCGGGACCCCAAUCGGCCCACACCUUGAUUUUGGACUUCCCAGCCUUCAAAACAAGGGAAACCCAAACACAGGGACUCAAGGACACGUCAGAGGCACAUACAUAUGUCCCCCCUUCUAUCAAAUCAGGCUGUUCAGGUGGUUUGCUGCUCUGUGAUCAUUAGGCAUCCAUUUUCAAGAGUGUACAAUGAGGGCAACCUAUGGGAUGUGUGGGCAGCUUGACUUCUCCGCGUGACGGAUGAGGCAAAUGGGGCAAGGAGAUGUGAAAGGACUCACCCCAAGUCACAUAGCUAACAGCAGGUUGAGCUGAGAGAACCAUGCUGGAUAUUUGAGUUCACUGCUUCAGAGACUAUUGAGUUACUAAAUUAUUGCCGAAGUGUGUCAAUAUUAAAUGAUGCUUCAGAAACCAGUGUCACCAGAAAGUAUAUAGAAUUAUGAUGCCUCUAAUCCUGGAAGUAGAGAUAUAAUUGGAAAAAUUUUAUCCAAUGUGUUUGAAAUUCAUAAAGUUGUUUCAAGUCACUUGAUAUUUUAAAAAGUAACUUUCUUUGAUGCUUC
Molecule: long non-coding RNA, 869 nt
Organism: Mirounga angustirostris (Northern elephant seal)
Lineage: Eukaryota; Metazoa; Chordata; Mammalia; Carnivora; Phocidae
Exons: 6
Source: RefSeq, a predicted model, not a curated record